This 472-nucleotide ribosomal RNA is filed under the name uncultured bacterium. RNAcentral describes it as "partial 16S ribosomal RNA". It matches the Rfam family "Bacterial small subunit ribosomal RNA", at positions 28 to 507 of the family's 1533-position model. The record is from RNAcentral.
GACGAACGCUGGCGGCGUGCUUAACACAUGCAAGUCGAACGCUGAAGCUUGGCGCUUGUACUGGGCGCGUGAGUGGCGCACGGGUGUGUCAUAAGUGAGUCACCUGCUCUACACUCUGGUAUAAGCCUGGGACACUGGCUCUAACACUGUAUACGACACUUCUCCGCAUUGGGGUGUGUGGAAAGGGUUUUACUGGUUUUGGAUGGGCUCGCGGCCUAUCAGCUUGUUGGUGGGGUAAUUGCCAACCAAGGCAACGACGGGUAGCCGGCCUGAGAGGGUGACCGGCCACACUGGGACUGAGACACGGCCCAGACUCCUACGGGAGGCAGCAGUGGGGAAUAUUGCACAAUGGGCGGAAGCCUGAUGCAGCGACGCCGCGUGAGGGAUGACGGCCUUCGGGUUGUAAACCUCUUUCGGCACGGAAGAAGCGAAAGUGACGGUACGUGGAGAAGAAGCGCCGGCUAACUACGUG